CAGCACCUCAAGUGGUCAGGAUGAUUAUUGGGCCUAAAGCAUCCGUAGCCGGCUCUGUAAGUUUUCGGUUAAAUCUGUACGCUCAACGUACAGGCUGCCGGGAAUACUGCAGCGCUAGGGAGUGGGAGAGGUAGACGGUACUCGGUAGGAAGGGGUAAAAUCCUUUGAUCUAUUGGUGACCACCUGUGGCGAAGGCGGUCUACCAGAACACGUCCGACGGUGAGGGAUGAAAGCUGGGGGAGCAAAACGGAUUAGAUACCCGAGUAGUCC
This 270-nucleotide ribosomal RNA is filed under the name uncultured archaeon. RNAcentral's name for it is "partial 16S ribosomal RNA". It matches the Rfam family "Archaeal small subunit ribosomal RNA", at positions 477 to 747 of the family's 1478-position model. The record is from RNAcentral.